CAAUAGCGUAUAUUAAAGUUGUUGCAGUUAAAAGCUCGUAGUUGGAUUUCUGGUCGGAGCGACCGGUCGGCGUCCUUUGUGGCGUGUGCACUGUUGUCGGCUCCGUCCAUCCUAGUGGGAAGGCGCGUUGGCAUUCAUUUGUCGGCGCGUGGCCCCGCUACGUUUACUUGUGAAAAAUUAAGAGUGUUUAAAGUACAGGCGUUCGCUGUGAAUACAUUAGCAUGGAAUAAUGAGAUAGGACUUUGGUUACUAUUUUGUUUGGUUUGUCGCACCAAGGUAAUGAUUAAUAGGGAUAGUUGGGGGCGAUUCGUAUUUAACUUGUCAGAGGUGAAAUUACUUGGAUUUGUUAAAGACGGACUACUGCGAAAG
Molecule: ribosomal RNA, 369 nt
Filed under: uncultured eukaryote
Lineage: Eukaryota
Description: bacterial SSU rRNA
Rfam family: Eukaryotic small subunit ribosomal RNA
Source: RNAcentral